RNAcentral lists this ribosomal RNA (652 nucleotides) under uncultured bacterium. RNAcentral's name for it is "bacterial SSU rRNA". It matches the Rfam family "Bacterial small subunit ribosomal RNA", at positions 202 to 842 of the family's 1533-position model. The record is from RNAcentral.
GAAAGGCGCUUUUGCGUCACUGAUGGAUGGACCCGCGGUGCAUUAGCUAGUUGGUGAGGUAACGGCUCACCAAGGCCACGAUGCAUAGCCGACCUGAGAGGGUGAUCGGCCACACUGGGACUGAGACACGGCCCAGACUCCUACGGGAGGCAGCAGUAGGGAAUCUUCGGCAAUGGACGAAAGUCUGACCGAGCAACGCCGCGUGAGUGAAGAAGGUUUUCGGAUCGUAAAACUCUGUUGUUAGAGGAGAACAAGGAUGAGAGUAGAACGUUCAUCCUUGACGGUAUCUAACCAGAAAGCCACGGCUAACUACGUGCCAGCAGCCGCGGUAAUACGUAGGUGGCAAGUGUUGUCCGGAUUUAUUGGGCGUAAAGCGAGCGCAGGCGGUUUCUUAAGUCUGAUGUGAAAGCCCCCGGCUCAACCGGGGAGGGUCAUUGGAAACUGGGAGACUUGAGUGCAGAAGAGGAGAGUGGAAUUCCAUGUGUAGCGGUGAAAUGCGUAGAUAUAUGGAGGAACACCAGUGGCGAAGGCGGCUCUCUGGUCUGUAACUGACGCUGAGGCUCGAAAGCGUGGGGAGCGAACAGGAUUAGAUACCCUGGUAGUCCACGCCGUAAACGAUGAGUGCUAAGUGUUGGAGGGUUUCCGCCCUUCA